RNAcentral lists this long non-coding RNA (2457 nucleotides) under Salmo salar (Atlantic salmon). RNAcentral's name for it is "lncRNA (ENSSSAG00000117932.1)". Lineage: Eukaryota; Metazoa; Chordata; Actinopteri; Salmoniformes; Salmonidae. The record is from RNAcentral.
AGCUUGCCGAUGAGUUGGUUAUUGAAUCAGCUGUGUAGUGCUGGGUCAGAACCAAAAGGUGCACCCGGGAGAGGGGGGGGGUGACUGAGUUGGGGAAACGCUGGUCUAAAAUCUUAACUGUUUAACUGAAGGAAACCCUGCCCAGAUGAAAUGGCACCCUAUUCCCUACAUUCUGACUGAUCCUCUUCGUUCCUGUGAAGAACCUAAGGAUUCCACAAGACUGCCUCUGUUGUUGAUCUUCAGCCUUAUACUCAUAGGGUACACAGUCAGUGUUGAUAUUUAAAUCACUGAGCCCACCGUUAAGAUCCGUUACACUGAGACACAACAAACGGCCCGUUAACUUGUCAACAAACAACUACCAAAUGAAAACCAGGGUCUUAUUGAUGGCUGGUUAUUGAUAUGACUUGCUGAAGCGUACAGAGAAUUGUUAGGAGUGUUGUUACUGUAGUUGUAGGACAGUAGUAACAGUAUUGGACUAAACUCUACAGGACUGUAGUUAAAACACAAACAGAAAGGGUGACAUUCUGUCUGCUAAAUAGUCCAGUUCCAACCACAACUACCUUAGUAGCAUCUACAUAGCCCCACAAAGCCCAAAGUUGCCAAAGCAAACAUAACAUCUAAAUACACUUCAACCAAAAUGAUUUUGGAAAGCUGCGGCUCAAGACUCCAUGGCGUGCAAGGGUUGUGGAACUGUUUACAAGCAAAUCAUCUCUGCCUUCUGAUGGUUGUUGUAAAACGAGACUUUGGAUCUUAAUCCCACAUGAAGUAUUGAGAACAACAACAGUCUUUUAAUCCAGUCGUCUCAGGGCUAUCUAGCAGACAGAUUUGAACCCCUAGACUGGCUAGAGAAGAGCCCCACUGGUCAUAUAAUACCCAGCAUGACUGAACGACUACGACUCAUAUAUUUUUUAUAUAUAUACACACACACACACACAGAGAGUACAUAUUCAUAGGAUGCACCUCCCUCACUAUGUCGCAUCAUGCCAUUGUUGUGAACGUUCUCAAGCAGGCCUCUAUCUGCGGCGCCCUAAAGUUGCGAUUAAAAAAAAGUAAUUCUGGAAAUACAAUGACAUUGCUAAAGUAGUCAAGUAUUUAGUAGGAAAAAGUUUGCAAGCGUUAUCAUGCCUUCAAAUUUACUUUGAUUGCAAUGUUGUCAUUAGCUAGCAAAGUUUGUCAAAAACCUAAUAAAAAAAAUGGCCUCACCUCCAUUUUAGCUAGCUAACGUUACACUGCAUCUAAAGUCAAUCUGGUGGCUAGCUAGCUAACGUUACACUGCAUCUAAAGUCAAUCUGGUGGCUAGCUAGCUAACGUUACACUGCAUCUAAAGUCAAUCUGGUGGCUAGCUAGCUAACGUUACACUGCAUCUAAAGUCAAUCUGGUGGCUAGCUAGCUAACGUUACACUGCAUUUAAAGUCAAUCUGGUGGCUAGCUAGCUAACGUUACACUGCAUCUAAAGUCAAUCUGGUGGCUAGCUAGCUAACGUUACACUGCAUUUAAAGUCUAUCUGGUGGCCUCCCCUCAAUCUUAGCUAGCUAGCUAAUGUUGUACUGCAUUUAAAGUCUAUCUGGUGGCCUCACCUCAAUCUUAGCUAGCUAGCUAACGUUAUACUGUAUCUAAAGUCAAUCUGGCGACAUCAAAAGGUUUUCCUACUAAUUAUUUGCCUCCUUUUGAGUGUCAUUGUAUUCCCAAGCCACUGUAAUGCACUUUUGAUGAAAUCUUCAUCGGCGCUCAUUGAGUAGAAUGCUCAGUCGUGCAUCAGUUCAAAACGAACGUUAUAAACAAUAUUGUGACGGAAUUUGCACUCCAUGAAUAAUGCUUUAACCUUUUCACAUGACGUUACUGUAGCACAAUAAGAUGACGGGACACUGCAGGUCAUGACUAUUUCUGUUCAGCCAGGCGGAGGAGUGGGCCUAACUUAAGUCGCUCCGCUAGCUGGCAAAAUUACGCACAUCCCUGUCGACUCACUCGUAAGAAUACUUACUCACACACACACACAUACGUGCACACACACACACACACACACUCACACACACACACACACACACUCACACACACACACACACUCACACACACACACACACACUCACACUCACACACUCACACUCACACUCUCUCACACACACACACACACACACACACACAUUGAUGUCACACCCUGAGUUAGACACUAGCUAGUAUGGAUAAAGUCAACAACAACAUAAUUACUCUCCCAUUGUUAUCCGUGUCUGAUUUAGUUGUAUUAGAUUUUAUUGAUCAGUGAUUUUAUUGCUUAUUUUAAUAUUCCUCUAUAUACCAACAUCCCUUCUCUCUUCACCCUCGCCCUUCAACCCCUCCUCUCUUCACCCCCCCUCGCCCUUCAACCCCUCCUCUCUUCACCCCCCUCGCCCUUCAACCCCACCUCUCUCUUCACCCCCUCGCCCUUCAACCCCACCUCUCUCUUCACCCCCUCCUCGCCCU